AUGGGGGGACCAUCCUCCAAGGCUAAAUACUCCUGACUGACCGAUAGUGAACCAGUACCGUGAGGGAAAGGCGAAAAGAACCCCGGCGAGGGGAGUGAAAAAGAACCUGAAACCGUGUACGUACAAGCAGUGGGAGCACGCUUCGGCGUGUGACUGCGUACCUUUUGUAUAAUGGGUCAGCGACUUAUAUUCUGUAGCAAGGUUAACCGAAUAGGGGAGCCGAAGGGAAACCGAGUCUUAACUGGGCGUUAAGUUGCAGGGUAUAGACCCGAAACCCGGUGAUCUAGCCAUGGGCAGGUUGAAGGUUGGGUAACACUAACUGGAGGACCGAACCGACUAAUGUUGAAAAAUUAGCGGAUGACUUGUGGCUGGGGGUGAAAGGCCAAUCAAACCGGGAGAUAGCUGGUUCUCCCCGAAAGCUAUUUAGGUAGCGCCUCGUGAAUUCAUCUCCGGGGGUAGAGCACUGUUUCGGCAAGGGGGUCAUCCCGACUUACCAACCCGAUGCAAACUGCGAAUACCGGAGAAUGUUAUCACGGGAGACACACGGCGGGUGCUAACGUCCGUCGUGAAGAGGGAAACAACCCAGACCGCCAGCUAAGGUCCCAAAGUCAUGGUUAAGUGGGAAACGAUGUGGGAAGGCCCAGACAGCCAGGAUGUUGGCUUAGAAGCAGCCAUCAUUUAAAGAAAGCGUAAUAGCUCACUGGUCGAGUCGGCCUGCGCGGAAGAUGUAACGGGGCUAAACCAUGCACCGAAGCUGCGGCAGCGACACUAUGUGUUGUUGGGUAGGGGAGCG
This 793-nucleotide ribosomal RNA is filed under the name Escherichia coli. RNAcentral describes it as "partial 23S ribosomal RNA". It matches the Rfam family "Bacterial large subunit ribosomal RNA", at positions 444 to 1238 of the family's 2925-position model. Lineage: Bacteria; Pseudomonadati; Pseudomonadota; Gammaproteobacteria; Enterobacterales; Enterobacteriaceae. The record is from RNAcentral.